Molecule: ribosomal RNA, 471 nt
Filed under: uncultured bacterium
Lineage: Bacteria
Description: partial 16S ribosomal RNA
Rfam family: Bacterial small subunit ribosomal RNA
Source: RNAcentral
GACGAACGCUGGCGGCGUGCUUAACACAUGCAAGUCGAACGAUGAAGCGGUGCUUGCACCGUGGAUUAGUGGCGAACGGGUGAGUAAUACGUGAGUGACCUACCUUUGACUCUGGGAUAAGCCUGGGAAACUGGGUCUAAUACCGGAUACGACCAAUCUCUGCAUGGGGUGUUGGUGGAAAGCGUUAUGGAGUGGUUUUAGAUGGGCUCACGGCCUAUCAGCUUGUUGGUGAGGUAAUGGCUUACCAAGGCGACGACGGGUAGCCGGCCUGAGAGGGUGACCGGCCACACUGGGACUGAGACACGGCCCAGACUCCUACGGGAGGCAGCAGCGGGGAAUAUUGCACAAUGGGCGCAAGCCUGAUGCAGCGACGCCGCGUGAGGGAUGACGGCCUUCGGGUUGUAAACCUCUGUUAGCAUCGAAGAAGCGAAAGUGACGGUAGGUGCAGAGAAAGCGCCGGCUAACUACGUG